RNAcentral lists this ribosomal RNA (253 nucleotides) under uncultured bacterium. RNAcentral describes it as "partial 16S ribosomal RNA". It matches the Rfam family "Bacterial small subunit ribosomal RNA", at positions 524 to 776 of the family's 1533-position model. The record is from RNAcentral.
UACGUAGGCAGCAAGCGUUGUUCGGAAUUACUGGGCGUAAAGAGUGUGUAGGCGGUGCUCCAAGUCUGGUGUGAAAUCUCCCGGCUUAACCGGGAGGGUGCGGCGAAUACUGAGAUGCUGGAGUGCCGGAGAGGUAAGCGGAAUUCCUGGUGUAGCGGUGAAAUGCGCAGAUAUCAGGAGGAACACCGGUGGCGAAGGCGGGUCUCUGGGCCGAUACUGACGCUGAGGAGCGAAAGCGUGGGGAGCAAACAGG